Molecule: long non-coding RNA, 214 nt
Filed under: Volvox carteri
Lineage: Eukaryota; Viridiplantae; Chlorophyta; Chlorophyceae; Chlamydomonadales; Volvocaceae
Description: long non-coding RNA (VCAR_LNC003456)
Source: RNAcentral
UUUCCCCCGAAAACUGGACUCACCCUGAUAGGUUCCCGCUGCUGUUCGAAAGGCUGCUGCCAGUUGUUCUGCUAUCUCUUCGAUAAGGGGUGUCAGUCUACGUCGUAGCCUCGCCUCCUGUGAUUCGUGUAUCCAUCGCAGAGAUCCUGCCCUACCCGCCAGAAAAACUGUUCCAGCGCGUCCGUCAGACCGAUCACCAUAAGUUCUUUGCGCC